Asparagus officinalis (garden asparagus) is the source of this 359-nucleotide long non-coding RNA. RefSeq lists it as uncharacterized. Lineage: Eukaryota; Viridiplantae; Streptophyta; Magnoliopsida; Asparagales; Asparagaceae. The record is from RefSeq and is a predicted model, not a curated record. The transcript has 2 exons.
CGGGUCAAGGGGAGGAGUUGUCGGCCGUUGACUCGAUGGAGAGGAGGAGAUCGGCGAUUGAUCUUGUGUUCCAGUUUCAUGCUUGAAUGGGAGAAAGAGGACAAGCUUCAAUUGAGGGUUUGCAUUCUCAGCUUAAGGGCAGGCUUGGGAACAGACAGAUGUAUGCCUUUCAGACACAAAAAAAAACUAUUUACGUACAACUUAUGCAACCGACAGCAAUGUAAAAUUAAACUCUGGCCGGUUACGUAUCAGUAUUGUUUGAAACUCUAAACGACAAUUGAAUUAUACAUCAUCGUAUAUAGAUGGAAGUCAUAGUUGACGGUAAAUUAAUUAUCGGCAGGAUCAUGUCAGUUUUUCUA